This is a non-coding RNA of Vicugna pacos (alpaca), 883 nucleotides long. The record is from RefSeq and is a predicted model, not a curated record. NCBI's taxonomy places the organism in Eukaryota, Metazoa, Chordata, Mammalia, Artiodactyla, Camelidae.
UUGCCAGUUUGCACGCCUGCGCGGCCGCCAUCUUACACCGGUCGCCAUGAGUACGUUGGCGGAAACGGCUCUGAGAGGCAGGCGCGUGAGCGUCCUCAUUGGGGUUAGAUCUCUGUAGAGGAUAUUCGGCCUCCGUGUAAGGCCGUCCCACGGAAGUUCCUCCUCACUGCCCGAAUCUCCCGCGAGAGGCCGAGCCGACCCGAGGAUCAGGCUGGCACGUGCGAGGCUGUGAUUCAGACGCUGCCGAGAUUCGGAACAAGUAGUUGGAAAGGUUUCCUACCUGAAGAAGAUGAGAGGUCGUUCAAGACUUACAGCCUGUUAACGGAUCUUCCUUGUAAAAACAUAGGCAUGGUGCUGCUAAUCUGUUAAGGAUUCAAGAGCCAAUGUUGCCCUAGGUUUGAAUCCCCCGGUGUAAUAAGAAUAGUGCACUUGUCUGAGACUCCGUUUCCUUAUCUGUAAAAUGGUGAUAACUUUUUUCUUAAAAGCACUUGGCACAAUUCUUUGCGCAGAACAAAUGCCCCAAAAUUAUGGCUAUUACUGAAAAGGUAAGAUGUAAAAAUAGAAUUACAGAAUGAGUGCACGCUGUACCUAUCGCUUUUCAUUUUAUUUAUACUUUAUUUAGGCUCUUGAACCGAUACUCUGUUCACACGGUGUAAAAUGUUAAAUGGGCAAAAGGACGUGAGAAGACAAUUUGACUCCUCCGGAUACCCUCCUUUUUGACAGCCAUUGUGAAGCUUUUUGUGUAUCUCUACAGAGAGGUUUUAUUUCCAGAGAUGCUUACUUAUAUCUUUAUUGGUGUUUUUAAGAUAAAUAAUAGACAUUCCACAUCUUGCUCUUUUUUUUUUUCAUCUACUUGGAGAUCUUUCCUAAAUAAAGAUUGAAA